CCAAAAACGGAGUAAAAUCCUUUUUAGAAAAAUUUUCUACUAAACUUGAUAGGAAAAAUUAUUUGUAUACUAUACAAGAUUAUGGAAAUUAAAUGUAUUACCAGUCUAUAACAUUAAAAAAUUAUAUAACUAUAAAUCUAGUAAAGCUUUAUCUACUAAGGUUAAUACGGUGCCAGCAACCGCGGUCAAACCUUAUUAAUAAAUAAUUGUGUAUAAAUCUAUUUACCCCACAAAAAAAUUAAAAAAAACUAAUAUACAGUGAAAUGUAAUUAAAGUCUAUUUCUAAAAAAUUCUUAGGUUGCAGAAAAUAAGUUUUUAAAACUAGGAUUAGAUACCCUACUAUUCUUAUAAUAUUUAAAUUUGAUUUGAGGAGUAAAACUACCUUUUAAACUCAAAAGUCAUGGCGGCUGCUAAAACUAAUUAGGGGAGCUUACCAAAUAAUUGAUAACCACCAAGAAUUUAUUUCUUUAAUUUAAAGUUUGUAUGCCGUCGUCGAAAAUUUUUCUAAGAAAAAUUUCUUUUAACCUUCUCAAAAUUUUUAAGACAGAUCAAGGUGCAACUAAUAUUAAUGAUUUCGGCGAGCUACAAUGCUUAAAUUUCUUUCGGAUUCAAACUUAAAAAGUUAGCUGAAGUUGGACUUAAAAGUAAACUUAUAAAUAGUAAUUAAUACUUGAAUACUAUAUUUAGCAGUGC
RNAcentral lists this ribosomal RNA (693 nucleotides) under Orcula conica. Its description in RNAcentral is "partial 12S ribosomal RNA". The record is from RNAcentral. Lineage: Eukaryota; Metazoa; Mollusca; Gastropoda; Stylommatophora; Orculidae.